GAUGAAGAACGCAGCGAAAUGCGAUACGUAAUGUGAAUUGCAGAAUUCAGUGAAUCAUCGAGUCUUUGAACGCACAUUGCGCCCUCUGGUAUUCCGGAGGGCAUGCCUGUCCGAGCGUCAUUGCUGCCCUCAAGCACGGCUUGUGUGUUGGGCCCCGUCCUCCUUCCGGGGGACGGGUCCGAAAGGCAGCGGCGGCACCGCGUCCGGUCCUCAAGCGUAUGGGGCUUUGUCACUCGCUUUGUAGGCCUGGCCGGCGCUUGCCGAUCAACCAAACUUUUUAUCAGGUUGACCUCGGAUCAGGUAGGGAUACCCGCUGAACUUAAGAAUAUCAAUAAGCGGAGGA
RNAcentral lists this unclassified non-coding RNA (343 nucleotides) under soil metagenome. RNAcentral describes it as "partial contains 5.8S ribosomal RNA, internal transcribed spacer 2, and large subunit ribosomal RNA". The stretch from base 1 to 120 matches the Rfam family "5.8S ribosomal RNA", at positions 35 to 154 of the family's 154-position model. The record is from RNAcentral.